GGGCAACCCAGGUACAACAGCAAAGGGCUGUUGAGGAGACUUGGUACAAUAAAGUCCCCCUCUUUUUCUCCAGGGUCUCUUUCUUUUUCUCUAACAAGUUGUGUUUCUGACAGCCUUCACUUCAAAGCUGGUAGGAGUGACCACUCCUUUUAUCAUUACCAAGUCUGACUGGCUGACCAAGAGCUGCAUUUGCAAGUUCACCUCUUUUUAGCUGUGGAUCAUCUGCAGUGAGAUGAUACCAACUGCCCAGUGAUUUCCACAUGGUCAUUCCCCACUGAGCCCCAGGAUCCUCACCCUGGCAAGCAGCUGCAUGUGGAGCCCCCAGUGUGAGACCACCUGAAUGCAAGUUUAAGUCUUGAGACUCCCCAGACCAGCCAGAGGAAGAGAACAUGGGCUGUGAGUCAAUGUGAAUGCUGGCUUGCUUCUGGUCUGCUUUGACCUUAAGGCUGAAGAACUUUGCCCUGCUUGCAGUUAGACUGGGACCAUGAGACUGGAUCCUGCCAAGGAGAAGUUGGAGACCAUUGCUUCAGAUGGCUACAAGAUAGUGGAGCACUCUUCAUCAUAAUCAGAUGGUGAUGUGACAGGAAUUGGACUUUAAUUGGUUAAAUUAUAGGAUUUUAAAAGUUUUGUCUGUUGUUAGUUACUCUGAAAAAUAAGACUGAGCAAAUGAGCACAAUUAAUAUAAUGAUAUGUAAUUUCAAAA
This is a long non-coding RNA of Canis lupus familiaris (dog), 703 nucleotides long. RefSeq lists it as uncharacterized. The record is from RefSeq and is a predicted model, not a curated record. The transcript is spliced from 3 exons. Lineage: Eukaryota; Metazoa; Chordata; Mammalia; Carnivora; Canidae.